RNAcentral lists this ribosomal RNA (527 nucleotides) under uncultured bacterium. RNAcentral's name for it is "bacterial SSU rRNA". It matches the Rfam family "Bacterial small subunit ribosomal RNA", at positions 27 to 518 of the family's 1533-position model. The record is from RNAcentral.
GGACGAACGCUGGCGGCGUGCCUAAUACAUGCAAGUCGAACGGUCUUUCUAUGGAAGCUUGCUUCCACUGAGAAGAUAGUGGCGAACGGGUGGAGUAACGAACGUGGGGUAACCCUGCCCCAGUAAGAGGGGGGAGUAACAUCCGGAAACGGGUGCUAAUACCGCAUAGUUUUCUUGAUCGCAUGAUCGGGAAAGGAAAGACGGCCUUUGUGCUGUCGCUUAUGGAUGGACCCGCGGCGUAUUAGUUAGUUGGUGAGGUAAUGGCUCACCAAGACGAUGAUACGUAGCCGACCUGAGAGGGUGAUCGGCCACAUUGGGACUGAGACACGGCCCAAACUCCUACGGGAGGCAGCAGUAGGGAAUCUUCCGCAAUGGACGAAAGUCUGACGGAGCAACGCCGCGUGAGUGAAAGAAGGUUUUCGGAUCGUAAAACUCUGUUGUCAGAGAAGAACAAGUUGGAGAGUAACUGCUCCAGCCUUGACGGUAUCUGACCAGAAAGCCACGGCUAACUACGUGCCAGCCGCCGC